ACGUGAUCUGAGUUCAGACCGGAGUAAUCCAGGUCGGUUUCUAUCUAUAAAGGACUUUUUCUAGUACGAAAGGACCGAAAAAGCAUGGCCAAUAAUUCUAUUAAGCCAUUAUUUUACUUAUGCCCUCAACUUAAUAAGGAAAAAUCCUAACAAUUAACUCAAGAAACAGAG
This 171-nucleotide ribosomal RNA is filed under the name Boana punctata (polka-dot treefrog). RNAcentral describes it as "partial 16S ribosomal RNA". Lineage: Eukaryota; Metazoa; Chordata; Amphibia; Anura; Hylidae. The record is from RNAcentral.